CCGCGCCACCCCACCUAGCGCGGCAGGGGGCAAUACAGAGGCCGCGCCAGCCUCCCUCCCUCCCUCUCCCUCACUGUCUUCUUCCUCCACCCGACCGGCUGGGAGCUUGCAACUCCAUUACCGGCGACCACCGGCCCUCCUCUGCCCAAGUCCGGCCCCGAUUGGUAUUGGUGGUCGCCCCCCAAGUUUUUCCCUCUUCUCGUGCGAGGUAACUUAUUCAGAUAGCUGAAAAGAAGCUCAUCUCAGUUAUAGCGGAAAGUUCCACAAUGAGAAAGAAGCACUCGAUGGUCAGAGCGAUGGUUCCUUUUUAAACCUGAACACAGUUCAGACGGGAAAUAGAUUGGCUAUAGCCGUCACAUAUACGUUGGUAGGUAUUUCAGUUUUAUCUUAUUCUUCUAUCAACAGAUUUAUGCAUUGCCCUCCUUUGAUAACAGUGGCUGUACGAAACCAAAGUAAAUUUACUAUCGAUAACCAGUGUGAAAUCAUCAGUAGUGGUGAUUUCUGCUAGCAGUGGUUGUACACAACUUUUUUCUACUGUAUAUUUCUGCUAGCAGUGGCUGUACAUGACUUUUUAUACUGUAUGUUUGUGCUAGCAGUGGCUAUACACAACUAUAUUCCUC
This is a long non-coding RNA of Panicum hallii, 620 nucleotides long. RefSeq lists it as uncharacterized. NCBI's taxonomy places the organism in Eukaryota, Viridiplantae, Streptophyta, Magnoliopsida, Poales, Poaceae. The transcript is spliced from 2 exons. The record is from RefSeq and is a predicted model, not a curated record.